Echinops telfairi (small Madagascar hedgehog) is the source of this 211-nucleotide long non-coding RNA. RefSeq lists it as uncharacterized. The record is from RefSeq and is a predicted model, not a curated record. The transcript is spliced from 2 exons. Lineage: Eukaryota; Metazoa; Chordata; Mammalia; Afrosoricida; Tenrecidae.
AAAGGAGCCUUGGCUAAGCUGGUGGAAGCCAUCAGGACCAACUAUAAUGACAGGUUUGACGAGAUCCGCCGCCACUGGGGUGGCAAUGUGCUGGGCCCCAAGUCGGUGGCCCGAAUCGCCAAGCUAGAAAAGGCCAAGGCCAAAGAACUCGCCACCAAGCUGGGCUAGCUGUGCAUGGCUGGUUUUUGUACAUAAUAAAACUAGUCCUUCA